UGGUUCCGCGCCGACAAUGUAGCGGGGCUCAAGCACACCACCGAAGACGCGGCAGUAUUUUGUACUGGGUAGGAGAGCGUCCCAUGAGGGGCGAAGCGGCCGUGUGAACGCGCCGUGGACUUCAUGGGAGUGAGAAUGCAGACAUGAGUAGCGAGAGACGGGUGAAGAUCCCGUCCGCUGGAUGACCAAGGGUUCCAGGGCCACGUUCAUCGUCCCUGGGUGAGUCGGGUCCUAAGGCGAGGCCGACAGGCGUAGUCGAAUGGACGAACGGGUCGAUAUUCCCGUACCGGCUUUCAGCCGCCAAAACCGAGGCUUGGAGUACUAACCUCCGGGUCCGGGCUUACUGCUCCUUCGGGGGCGGGAUGCCCUGGCCUGUUGGGACCGAUCCUUGUAGUAGGUCAGCGCAGGAGUGACGCAGAAGGGUAGCCGGCCGCGGAGGUGGUCUUCCGUGGUCAAGCACGCAGGGCGUGGGACAGGCAAAUCCGUCCCGCAUGGGUCCGAGGUGCGAUGAUGGGGGCCUUAUGGCCCGAUAUCCGGUGAUCCCGGCUGCCGAGAAAAGCUUCGGCGUCAGGCUCAAAGCCGCCCGUACCCCAAACCGACACUGGUGGUCAGGUAGAGAAUACCAAGGCGAUCGAGCGAAUCCUGGUCAAGGAACUCGGCAAAUCACUCCCGUGCCUUCGGUAUAAGGGAGACCCACUGGGGUGAAGGACCUUGCGUCCGGAGCUUUGGUGGGUGGCACAGACCAGGGGGUAGCGACUGUUUACCAAAAACACAGGUGCAUGCGAAGGCGAAAGCCGCUGUAUAUGCACUGACGCCUGCCCGGUGCCGGAAGGUUAAGAGGAUCCGUCAAUCCCUUCGGGACGAAGCGGUGAAUUCAAGCCCCGGUAAACGGCGGUGGUAACUAUAACCAUCCUAAGGUAGCGAAAUUCCUUGUCGGGUAAGUUCCGACCUGCACGAAUGGCGUAACGACUUCCCCACUGUCUCGACCAGGAGCUCGGCGAAAUUGCAGUACGAGUAAAGAUGCUCGUUAAGCGCAGAAGGACGAAAAGACCCCGGGACCUUUACUAUACCUUGGUAUUGGCGUUAGGCGCGGAUUGUGUAGCAUAGGCGGGAGGCUUCGAAGCGGGUGCGCCAGCAUUCGUGGAGCCGCAAGGUGAAAUACCGCUCUGUUCUCGUUUGACGUCUAACCUCGACAAGUCAUCCUUGUCAGGGACAGUGCCUGGCGGGUAGUUCAACUGGGGCGGUUGCCUCCCAAAGAGUAACGGAGGCGCUCAAAGGUCCGCUCAGCCCGGUUGGCAAUCGGGUGUCGAGUGUAAUCGCACAAGCGGGCUUGACUGCGAGGACGACGGUCCGAGCAGGGACGAAAGUCGGAGAUAGUGAUCCGGUGCCGGCGCACGGGCGCGGCAUCGCUCAACGGAUAAAAGGUACCCCGGGGAUAACAGGCUGAUCAUUCC
This 1454-nucleotide ribosomal RNA is filed under the name human gut metagenome. Its description in RNAcentral is "bacterial LSU rRNA". It matches the Rfam family "Bacterial large subunit ribosomal RNA", at positions 1154 to 2492 of the family's 2925-position model. The record is from RNAcentral.